This 914-nucleotide ribosomal RNA is filed under the name uncultured bacterium. Its description in RNAcentral is "bacterial SSU rRNA". It matches the Rfam family "Bacterial small subunit ribosomal RNA", at positions 1 to 903 of the family's 1533-position model. The record is from RNAcentral.
UUCGCCCUUAGAGUUUGAUCCUGGCUCAGGAUGAACGCUAGCUACAGGCUUAACACAUGCAAGUCGAGGGGAAACGACAUCGAAAGCUUGCUUUUGAUGGGCGUCGACCGGCGCACGGGUGAGUAACGCGUAUCCAACCUGCCCACCACUUGGGGAUAACCUUGCGAAAGUAAGACUAAUACCCAAUGAUAUCUCUAGAAGACAUCUGAAAGAGAUUAAAGAUUUAUCGGUGAUGGAUGGGGAUGCGUCUGAUUAGCUUGUUGGCGGGGUAACGGCCCACCAAGGCGACGAUCAGUAGGGGUUCUGAGAGGAAGGUCCCCCACAUUGGAACUGAGACACGGUCCAAACUCCUACGGGAGGCAGCAGUGAGGAAUAUUGGUCAAUGGGCGAGAGCCUGAACCAGCCAAGUAGCGUGCAGGAUGACGGCCCUAUGGGUUGUAAACUGCUUUUAUAAGGGAAUAAAGUGAGUCUCGUGAGACUUUUUGCAUGUACCUUAUGAAUAAGGACCGGCUAAUUCCGUGCCAGCAGCCGCGGUAAUACGGAAGGUCCGGGCGUUAUCCGGAUUUAUUGGGUUUAAAGGGAGCGUAGGCCGGAGAUUAAGCGUGUUGUGAAAUGUAGACGCUCAACGUCUGCACUGCAGCGCGAACUGGUUUCCUUGAGUACGCACAAAGUGGGCGGAAUUCGUGGUGUAGCGGUGAAAUGCUUAGAUAUCACGAAGAACUCCGAUUGCGAAGGCAGCUCACUGGAGCGCAACUGACGCUGAAGCUCGAAAGUGCGGGUAUCGAACAGGAUUAGAUACCCUGGUAGUCCGCACGGUAAACGAUGGAUGCCCGCUGUUGGUCUGAAUAGGUCAGCGGCCAAGCGAAAGCAUUAAGCAUCCCACCUGGGGAGUACGCCGGCAACGGUGAAACUCA